This 233-nucleotide ribosomal RNA is filed under the name uncultured bacterium. RNAcentral describes it as "partial 16S ribosomal RNA". It matches the Rfam family "Bacterial small subunit ribosomal RNA", at positions 118 to 347 of the family's 1533-position model. The record is from RNAcentral.
UGAGCAAUCUGCCCUUCUCUUCGGAAUAAGCGUUGGAAACGACGUCUAAUGCCGAAUACGACCUCCUUUCGCAUGAUCGGAGGUGGAAAGCUCCGGCGGAGAAGGAUGAGCUCGCGGCCUAUCAGCUAGUUGGUGUGGGUAAUGGCCCACCAAGGCGACGACGGGUAGCCGGCCUGAGAGGGUGACCGGCCACACUGGGACUGAGACACGGCCCAGACCUCCGUACGGGGAGG